AGUGAACGCUGGCGGUAGGCCUAACACAUGCAAGUCGAACGGCAGCACAGUAAGAGCUUGCUCUUACGGGUGGCGAGUGGCGGACGGGUGAGGAAUACAUCGGAAUCUACUUUUUCGUGGGGGAUAACGUAGGGAAACUUACGCUAAUACCGCAUACGACCUACGGGUGAAAGUAGGGGAUCUUCGGACCUUGCGCGAUUGAAUGAGCCGAUGUCGGAUUAGCUAGUUGGCGGGGUAAAGGCCCACCAAGGCGACGAUCCGUAGCUGGUCUGAGAGGAUGAUCAGCCACACUGGAACUGAGACACGUUCCAGACUCCUACGGGAGGCAGCAGUGGGGAAUAUUGGACAAUGGGCGCAAGCCUGAUCCAGCCAUACCGCGUGGGUGAAGAAGGCCUUCGGGUUGUAAAGCCCUUUUGUUGGGAAAGAAAAGCAGCAGGUUAAUACCCCGCUGUUCUGACGGUACCCAAAGAAUAAGCACCGGCUAACUUCGUG
Molecule: ribosomal RNA, 492 nt
Filed under: uncultured bacterium
Lineage: Bacteria
Description: partial 16S ribosomal RNA
Rfam family: Bacterial small subunit ribosomal RNA
Source: RNAcentral